This is a small nuclear RNA of Callithrix jacchus (white-tufted-ear marmoset), 102 nucleotides long. The record is from Ensembl. Lineage: Eukaryota; Metazoa; Chordata; Mammalia; Primates; Cebidae.
GCUUGCUUCAGCAGCACAUAUGAAAAUUAGAAUGAUACAGAGAAGAUUAGCACAGACCCGUGUAAGAAUGGCACAGCAGUUCAUGAAGUGUCCCAUGUUUUG